GAGGUUCUGUCCUACACUCCGGCU
This 24-nucleotide non-coding RNA is filed under the name Columba livia (rock pigeon). The record is from RNAcentral. Lineage: Eukaryota; Metazoa; Chordata; Aves; Columbiformes; Columbidae. RNAcentral also lists the same sequence under 1 other name.